This 73-nucleotide transfer RNA is filed under the name Ailuropoda melanoleuca (giant panda). It matches the Rfam family "tRNA". From Rfam's summary of the family: Transfer RNA (tRNA) molecules are approximately 80 nucleotides in length. Their secondary structure includes four short double-helical elements and three loops (D, anti-codon, and T loops). Lineage: Eukaryota; Metazoa; Chordata; Mammalia; Carnivora; Ursidae. The record is from Rfam by way of RNAcentral.
GCCUAGCUGGCUUAGCAAGCAGAGCAUGUGACUCUUGAUCCCAGGGUUGUGAGUUCAAGCCUCACGUUGGGGG